GAGCUUAACUCUGGAACUGCCAUCAAAACUUUUCAGCUAGAGUUUGAUAGAGGAAAGCAGAAUUUCUAGUGUAGAGGUGAAAUUCGUAGAUAUUAGAAAGAAUACCAAUUGCGAAGGCAGCUUUCUGGAUCAUUACUGACACUGAGGAACGAAAGCAUGGGUAGCGAAGAGGAUUAGAUACCCUCGUAGUCCAUGCCGUAAACGAUGUGUGUUAGACGUUGGAAAUUUAUUUUCAGUGUCGCAGCGAAAGCGAUAAACACACCGCCUGGGGAGUACGACCGCAAGGUUAAAACUCAAAUGAAUUGACGGGGACCCGCACAAGUAGUGGAGCAUGUGGUUUAAUUCGAAGAUACGCGCAGAACCUUACCAACACUUGACAUGUUCGUCGCGACUUUAAGAGAUUAAAGUUUUCGGUUCGGCCGGACGAAACACAGGUGCUGCAUGGCUGUCGUCAGCUCGUGUCGUGAGAUGUUGGGUUAAGUCCCGCAACGAGCGCAACCCUCACUUUUAGUUGCCAUCAUUUAGUUGGGCACUCUGAAAGAACUGCCAGUGAUAAGCUGGAGGAAGGUGGGGAUGACGUCAAGUCCUCAUGGCCCUUACGUGUUGGGCUACACACGUGCUACAAUGGUAUCUACAACAGGAAGCAAAACGGCGACGUUAAGCAAAUCCUUAAAAGAUACCUCAGUUCGGAUUGCACUCUGCAACUCGAGUGCAUGAAGCUGGAAUUACUAGUAAUCGUGGAUCAGCGUGCCACGGUGAAUGCGUUCCCGGGUCUUGUACACACCGCCCGUCACACCAUGGGAGUUGGUUCUACCUUAAGGCAAGGUUUAAAAUCCUUGACCACGGUAUAGUCAGCGACUGGGGUGAAGUCGUAACAAGGUAGCCG
RNAcentral lists this ribosomal RNA (886 nucleotides) under uncultured bacterium. RNAcentral describes it as "bacterial SSU rRNA". It matches the Rfam family "Bacterial small subunit ribosomal RNA", at positions 605 to 1502 of the family's 1533-position model. The record is from RNAcentral.